Long non-coding RNA from Saccoglossus kowalevskii, 412 nucleotides. The record is from RefSeq and is a predicted model, not a curated record. NCBI's taxonomy places the organism in Eukaryota, Metazoa, Hemichordata, Enteropneusta, Harrimaniidae.
CAUUUCUGUCUCCCAAUCACACAGGAGUCAUAUCAGUGUUGACACAUCACAUAUUGAAGCAACAUUUACACCAAACAUGAGAACAUUGUGGACCUUCGCUUUAUUAUUUAUUCUGGUCAUCAAUAUAGAAGGCCAGGAAAACCCAGAACCUGACACAGAUGUCGGAAUUUUGGAACAAGAUAUAGACGAGCUGGAAUCGAAUUUACAGAACUUUGAGCAUGUAAAUCCCGUGUUUCUCAGAAUCAAUGGAAAAAAAUAAUGCUACAUACAAUACCAGGACCCCGUGUAUUUCCUGUUCAAACGCAGUGCGCAUGACCCAUAAUAGUGAAUAUAAACAUACCAUGUAUAGAAAUGUGCAUGUUCACGAGAUUAACUGAAUAAAUACAAUGAGUAUCUGCUUAUGAAAUCAAAA